GACAGAGGAUGCAAGCGUUAUCCGGAAUGAUUGGGCGUAAAGCGUCUGUAGGUGGCUUUUCAAGUCCGCCGUCAAAUCCCAGGGCUCAACCCUGGACAGGCGGUGGAAACUACCAAGCUGGAGUACGGUAGGGGCAGAGGGAAUUUCCGGUGGAGGCGGUGAAAUGCAUUGAGAUCGGAAAGAAACACCAACGGCGAAAGCACUACUGCUGGGCCGACACUGACACUGAGAGACGAAAGCUAGGGGAGCAAAGGGAUUAGGAAAACCCUAA
This 271-nucleotide ribosomal RNA is filed under the name uncultured bacterium. Its description in RNAcentral is "partial 16S ribosomal RNA". It matches the Rfam family "Bacterial small subunit ribosomal RNA", at positions 524 to 792 of the family's 1533-position model. The record is from RNAcentral.